Molecule: ribosomal RNA, 739 nt
Filed under: Caulobacteraceae bacterium
Lineage: Bacteria; Pseudomonadati; Pseudomonadota; Alphaproteobacteria; Caulobacterales; Caulobacteraceae
Description: bacterial SSU rRNA
Rfam family: Bacterial small subunit ribosomal RNA
Source: RNAcentral
AACGCUGGCGGCAGGCCUAACACAUGCAAGUCGAACGAACUCUUCGGAGUUAGUGGCGGACGGGUGAGUAACACGUGGGAACGUGCCUUUUGGUUCGGAAUAACUCAGGGAAACUUGUGCUAAUACCGAAUGUGCCCUUCGGGGGAAAGAUUUAUCGCCAUUAGAGCGGCCCGCGUCUGAUUAGCUAGUUGGUGAGGUAAAGGCUCACCAAGGCGACGAUCAGUAGCUGGUCUGAGAGGAUGAUCAGCCACAUUGGGACUGAGACACGGCCCAAACUCCUACGGGAGGCAGCAGUGGGGAAUCUUGCGCAAUGGGCGAAAGCCUGACGCAGCCAUGCCGCGUGAAUGAUGAAGGUCUUAGGAUUGUAAAAUUCUUUCACCGGGGACGAUAAUGACGGUACCCGGAGAAGAAGCCCCGGCUAACUUCGUGCCAGCAGCCGCGGUAAUACGAAGGGGGCUAGCGUUGCUCGGAAUUACUGGGCGUAAAGGGAGCGUAGGCGGACAUUUAAGUCAGGGGUGAAAUCCCGGGGCUCAACCUCGGAAUUGCCUUUGAUACUGGGUGUCUUGAGUAUGAGAGAGGUGUGUGGAACUCCGAGUGUAGAGGUGAAAUUCGUAGAUAUUCGGAAGAACACCAGUGGCGAAGGCGACACACUGGCUCAUUACUGACGCUGAGGCUCGAAAGCGUGGGGAGCAAACAGGAUUAGAUACCCUGGUAGUCCACGCCGUAAACGAUGAUUGCU